Molecule: long non-coding RNA, 1676 nt
Organism: Corvus hawaiiensis (hawaiian crow)
Lineage: Eukaryota; Metazoa; Chordata; Aves; Passeriformes; Corvidae
Exons: 4
Source: RefSeq, a predicted model, not a curated record
UCCUGGGGAGCGGAAGGAUGUGUGUGAACUUGUGGGGAAGGAAAAAAUGGACAAGGUUGAUGUUGCUGACCUUCAGUGUGGAAGCCUGAUCAUUACUGUCGUUUGAGAUGGCUGUGUGGGAAGAAAAGGCAGUGUGGGGAAAAAAAGGAGACUUAAACCUGCAUUGUCCAUGUUAGCCACAUUUCUCAUUGCCUCCAAAAGGAGUUUUGUUCGGGAAGUGCAAAGCAGGCCUGUGCCGGCAUCACCCCUGGAGCAGAAAUCCCCUACCCAUGGCACUCUCAUCCCCCUGCCCCUCGCUGCAAACUCCUGUGAAGCUCCGGAAGCUGCGUCACCUUGGGAACAGAGAAGGGAGUGGAAGUUGCCCAUUGGACCAGGAGGAGACUUCCAGUGUCUGAUCCCUGGGAGCUGCAAUCAGCUGAGGUUUCUGCAGCUCUUGCCAUACAUGCACAAAUGUGACAAGGAGAGAAGUAACUCCGAUCUGGCAGCUUGUGUCCUGAAGCAGAAAUCAAAGUUGUUUAUGUGAUUUCAGGCUAAUCUCUGCCAAUUUUUCAUCUGACAAAGUGCUUCUAUUUACCCUGAGCAACUCCAAGGACAGCUUCCUUAAUAAUGUUUAUAUUGUUGGACUCUCAGUUACCAGUAUUAACAAAGGAAGUUGAAAACAACUCUGCAUCUCCAUCUUUCAUCCUUGCAUGAUCACAAACUUCCCAUUCCACCUCCCAAGAAAUGCUGUUUGCUGCUGGUGGAAAGCUUUCUGAUGGUUUUCCAGGUUCCACAUGGUCUGGCAGAGUGUGUUAUCCUCUGGCCACCCCUUGGUCUCCCUUGUUAGUGGUUUUCUGACUCACCCUGGGUGGGAGCUUGGCUGCUCCAGCCGGUGGAAACGUGGGUAAUUGAAAAGGCUGAAGUAGUGAGUGGUGUUAUAAUUAACUGGCUGUAUUAAGCAUUUUACAGUUCUGACACCUCGCAAGAGUAGAAGUUUAAUGAGAAUGGAGAGAGGCUCAAAAGCAAUCCAUUUUCCCAGUAAAGAUUGUAAUGAAGGUGUGAAAUGAUGCACAGCUAACUAAACCUGUCUGUAAUAGCCUCUCUGUUGUAAUGUAGUGAUCUGACAGACUUUGGAAAAACAAUACAGUGCAUAUGUUUCUAUAGAUUAUAUAUUUUAUAUAUAUCUUUCCUUGCAGUGCUAAUGUAUCAUGCAGUUUGACUGGGUGUGCCAUGUGUAGGUCAGGUGCCAAAAUGUGUAAAGAACUGAUUGUUGACAAAGAUUGCUCAUUUGCAGUGUAAAGAUGAAUGCAGCCCAAGGAAUGUCCCAGAAAAUGUCCCAGAGAGGACAUUCAAGUGGAGCACAAGGGGCUCUGAAUGUCUGUGCCAGGGCCAGCUGUGACACAGCACAAAGGACUUCUGUGGCCCAUUUGCACCAACACGGCCUCCUCACUACGGUCCUGUCAGGAAUUCCUUGGUAUCUGCCUGGAGGGGAAGAAAGAGCAAAGGUAUUUUCUCACUAUUGCUUCAGAAGAGGCUCAGUCUCUGUUUCCCAGUUUAAAAUCCAACAGCAGCAGCUGUAAACAGAGUGUACUCUCCACAGCAAAACCCUGUCAUUGCAUCUCUCUAUCUUCAUUUGCAAGGAAUGCGUCAGAUUCGGGUGGGUGCGGAGGGAACGGGAAUGAGGAUGGCACGCAUCA